AUGCCGCUGAGUACGACUACGUCACCGAAGACCCUUCUUCCUAUACAACAGAGCUUCCAGGAGCUAGAGAUCCCGAGGAUGAUUCUAUGUGGAUUUUGGCUUCGAGGAGUAGUUAGGAGGUCCCAGGUAGGAGGCCUUGCCUUUUCGAUCGUUGCUACUUUUGUGCUAGCCAUCUUAUGGCAACUUGUUUAA
RNAcentral lists this ribosomal RNA (192 nucleotides) under Triticum aestivum (bread wheat). RNAcentral's name for it is "partial small subunit ribosomal RNA". The record is from RNAcentral. Lineage: Eukaryota; Viridiplantae; Streptophyta; Magnoliopsida; Poales; Poaceae.